RNAcentral lists this ribosomal RNA (253 nucleotides) under uncultured bacterium. Its description in RNAcentral is "partial 16S ribosomal RNA". It matches the Rfam family "Bacterial small subunit ribosomal RNA", at positions 524 to 776 of the family's 1533-position model. The record is from RNAcentral.
UACGUAGGGUGCGAGCGUUGUCCGGAAUUAUUGGGCGUAAAGCGUGCGCAGGCGGUUUGUUAAGACAGAUGUGAAAUCCCCGGGCUUAACCUGGGAACUGCAUUUGUGACUGCAUGGCUGGAGUGCGGCAGAGGGGGAUGGAAUUCCGCGUGUAGCAGUGAAAUGCGUAGAUAUGCGGAGGAACACCGAUGGCGAAGGCAAUCCCCUGGGCCUGCACUGACGCUCAUGCACGAAAGCGUGGGGAGCAAACAGG